CCUACGGGGGGCAGCAGUGGGGAAUAUUGCACAAUGGGCGUAAGCCUGAUGCAGCCAUGCCGCGUGUGUGAAGAAGGCCUUCGGGUUGUAAAGCACUUUCAGCGGGGAGGAAGGCGGUGAGGUUAAUAACCUCAUCGAUUGACGUUACCCGCAGAAGAAGCACCGGCUAACUCCGUGCCAGCAGCCGCGGUAAUACGGAGGGUGCAAGCGUUAAUCGGAAUUACUGGGCGUAAAGCGCACGCAGGCGGUCUGUCAAGUCGGAUGUGAAAUCCCCGGGCUCAACCUGGGAACUGCAUUCGAAACUGGCAGGCUAGAGUCUUGUAGAGGGGGGUAGAAUUCCAGGUGUAGCGGUGAAAUGCGUAGAGAUCUGGAGGAAUACCGGUGGCGAAGGCGGCCCCCUGGACAAAGACUGACGCUCAGGUGCGAAAGCGUGGGGAGCAAACAGGAUUAGAUACCCCUGUAGUC
This 465-nucleotide ribosomal RNA is filed under the name uncultured Klebsiella sp. RNAcentral's name for it is "bacterial SSU rRNA". It matches the Rfam family "Bacterial small subunit ribosomal RNA", at positions 338 to 795 of the family's 1533-position model. Lineage: Bacteria; Pseudomonadati; Pseudomonadota; Gammaproteobacteria; Enterobacterales; Enterobacteriaceae. The record is from RNAcentral.